RNAcentral lists this ribosomal RNA (253 nucleotides) under uncultured bacterium. RNAcentral's name for it is "partial 16S ribosomal RNA". It matches the Rfam family "Bacterial small subunit ribosomal RNA", at positions 524 to 776 of the family's 1533-position model. The record is from RNAcentral.
GACAGAGGCCUCGAGCGUUAGGCGGAAUCACUGGGCUUAAAGCGUGUGUAGGCGGGCCCGUAAGUGUCUUGUGAAAUCCCACGGCUCAACCGUGGAACUGCUGGGCAUACUGCGGGUCUUGGGCCAACUAGGGGCAGCCGGAACAAGCGGUGGAGCGGUGAAAUGCGUAGAGAUGCGGAGGAACACCGAUGGCGAAGGCAGCCCCCUGGGCUAGCACUGACGCUCAGGCACGAAAGCGUGGGGAGCAAACAGG